Molecule: unclassified non-coding RNA, 388 nt
Filed under: soil metagenome
Description: partial contains 5.8S ribosomal RNA, internal transcribed spacer 2, and large subunit ribosomal RNA
Rfam family: 5.8S ribosomal RNA (bases 1-122)
Source: RNAcentral
GAUGAAGAACGUAGCGAAAUGCGAUACUUGGUGUGAAUUGCAGAAUCCCGUGAACCAUCGAGUCUUUGAACGCAAGUUGCGCCCGAAGCCAUUAGGCCGAGGGCACGCCUGCCUGGGCGUCACACGUCGUUGCCCCCCAUCUACUCCUUCGGGAUUGCGGGGGGCGGAUGAUGGCCUCCCGUGCGCCUCGUCGCGCGGUUGGCAUAAAUGCCAAGUCCUCGGCGACGCACGCCACGACAAUCGGUGGUUGCGAAACCUCGGUUGCCCGUCGUGUGCGGUCGUCGCGCAUCGAGGGCUCGAAAAAAUUGCCGGGCUCCGGCUCGGCUUUCAACGCGACCCCAGGUCAGGCGGGGUUACCCGCUGAAUUUAAGCAUAUCAAAGCGGAGGA